CUGGACCCCCUACAGCUAUGUGAACGUGUUAGAUCAGUGCCCUGGAGGCCAGGUACCCGCCCGAGGACUUCUACAUUGAACUUAGACACCUCAGCCGCCCCGCUGAGCCACACUCACCAGGUGCUUGUGGAAUGGAUAGACGUCAGAACACAUACAUUAUGGACAAAGGCUUCAAAGAUGCCAACUAAAUGUCUUCGGAAAUGUAAAGCGUCAUUAUCCAACCAAUUAGUACGAGUUAAAUUGAUUAUAAAAUCUGAAAUAAAGUUGAUCUACCUGC
RNAcentral lists this long non-coding RNA (277 nucleotides) under Homo sapiens (human). RNAcentral's name for it is "non-protein coding lnc-DENND4A-2:2". Lineage: Eukaryota; Metazoa; Chordata; Mammalia; Primates; Hominidae. The record is from RNAcentral.